UCUUUCUUUGUCUCUUGUAACAGUUUUUUACUUAAAAUCUAAUUUGUCUGAUAUUAGUAUAGCCACCCCAGCUCUUUUUGGGUUACUAUUUUCAUGGAUUUACAUAAAGUUUUGAUAUUAAAAUUAAGAUUAUGCUAUCUAGGCAAGUGAUGGUGGUUCAAAAAUAAAUUUUGUCAUGUUAUUGUUUACUCAUUUAAUGGAGUUUUAAAAAAAUUCCUAGCAAGCUCUUACUUAUAAGUUAAAACAGCUUAUUUUCCUGUUUUUAUUCUGAUUUUUUUUCAAGGGUGCAUACUAUUUACUAUAGAAUUCAUUCCCAUAUAGUCUAUAUGAUCAAUUAUAGUUCUCAAAUAAGUCCUAUUAAUUGCUACCAGAUUCACAUAUAUCUAAAUAUAUAUUUACAUGUGUGUGUCUAUAUAUAUAUGUAUGUAUAUAUAUAUUUUAAUGAUACUAAAUGUAGAUAGCAAGUCAUAUUUUUAUGCUUUAUAUCCAAUAGAUUUAUCAUUUUACUUCUAAACGUCUGAAAAUGUAGAUCACACAAACUUUUUCUUGCUGAAAAUUUACUAUAGCUUUUAUCUAUCAAAUUCUUGAAAUAUAUCAGCUAUGUAUAUCCCACACAUUUCUCUCCAUGAGCAUCUUAUGGUGAUACCAUUCUAUAAAAUUAUAUUGAGGAAGUUAAUUCAGUGUCAAUAGACUAUAAUUUGCUAAUAUCAUUUUCUCUCCAAAUCUUUGAGGGAAAAAUUUAAGAUUAGACUAUUAAUGCAAGAUUGACUUAGAGAUGCAUGAAUUUGAUUAUUUUUUCCUUUUGAAAAAUUAUUUUAAAGGCUGUAGUACCUUACUUAUAGAGUUUAUUACAUUUUAAAAGUAACUGAUAUUAAUAUUUUAUAAAAAUGAUUUAUGAUGGAAAGAACUUGUGUACCUUUUGACAAUUAUAAGGAAGUUAAAGUUACAAAAUGAUUCAUGAAUGUUCCUACCUGUCUUUCCUUUCCUCCAAUAGUUGUUGCUCAUUGUUUGGUUCUUCAUGUUGUUUUUAAUUCUCUAAUAAUCCUUUAGGAUCAGUACCUAAUCUCAGCAAACAAAAAUAUCCAAGCAGUCCCUAUGAAUUAUAAUGAGGAAAAGAAGCAUUUAUCAAAAAGAGAUGAGCUGUUGGUAAGUAUUACUGACAACUUUGUGCUCAGCAAUGUGGGACUCAUAGUAAGAACAAGGAUGUAGAAAGUCAAAGAUAAAAAUACAGAAAUUGUUAUUCAGUAAACAUUUAGUAUAUAUGAGCUAUCUGAAAUAUACAAUUGUGUGCCCUAUCCAAGUAAAAAUUUGUGUUCCUAAAAAGAAAAUUGAUUUGAUGGUGCAUUAAACAAUGUAGUGGUUAAGACUCAAAAUACUCGAGUGAGACUCACCAAUCUGGCUCACUGAUGAUAUAACCUUAGACAAACUGCUUGCUUUGCUUAAACCUUGGAAUUUUUGUCCAUAGAACAGAUAAUGUCAGUAACUACCUCGUGCAGUUGUUGCAAAAGACAGUGUUUAGAACAAUAGUAAAUUUUUAACAAAAGCUUAGUUGUCUUAUUUAUAACUAAAAUCUAUUGGAAAAAUAGAGAUCUAUUUGUUAAUAUGAUUGAAUGAAUUGUUUGCUUUUAAAAACAUGGUCACCAAGUCAGAAAAAAAGUUAUAUAAAUUAAGUCGUAUGAGCAUGCAUGUUUUACAUUUGUUUGGUAAUACAAGGAAGAAUGUCUUCUUCGUAAUGCAUUCAUUUCUAAAAGAGUAUAAUUUAAUUUCAUAUUACAGUUAUUUUCAGAAAGGAGAGAAUACGAUGAAGAAUGAUGUACAGGCAGGCCCUGGGUACAGACAACCCGACUCACAGUGCUCUGUACUUAUGAACAGGCUUCCAAGGCUCUCCAUAAGGAUAAUCUAUAAUUGGAUAAUUAAAUUCAUAACUCAGCAACUAGUUUUUUCCAUGCAUGUAAACAAAUCCACAUGAUGUAAGCAGUUCAUUGGUGCAGCAUCUUUAUGCUAGUGGCUAGUCUCUGUUGAUAUGGUCACUUACAUACAGCAUCACUUUCGUCUUAACUUUUUUAUUCAAUUUUGUAGUCCAUGUUUAUCCUUAUGACUGUGCCUCUAAAGUGAAAGUCCACUGCAAGUCCAGAUGAGGCUGCAGCAAAAGGGAAGGUGAUUACAAUGGAACAAAAGUACAGAUAAUUAAGUGUUCGGAGAUAGGCCAGACAGUUGCCAUCAUUCAUUGGGAAAGUAUUAGGCUUUAGUCACUUGACUAUUGGAACAUUUAUAAGGAAUAAAGUAAGAAGAAUGGAACAUGUGAAAGGCAAUGCUCCAAUGAAAGCAUCAUUUAUUUCUGUGCAGCAUAGUGGAAUAAUUAUCGACAUGGAAAGGUUAUUAUUGACUUGGUUAGAAGAUCAAAAUAAGUGUAACAUUCCUAUUGGCCUAGUGUUGAUGCAACAUUAGGCUUCACAUUUAUAAAUGAUUAUUUGUUUAUAAUGAUUACACCUUUGUUAGAGCACAAGUUCCAAAAGGGUGAAUAAUGUACCAAGAGAUGAGUGGGAAGACUUGCUACAGGAGCAACAAAGGCCAAGAAGGUGCCAAAGUGUCUUUCCUACCACGGAAAGAGGGAAGGACAGAUGAAGAUACUUCUCUUUGCAUAUUGUACUCUGAAAGAAAACAAUAUUACUGAAAGGAAAUUUUAGUAUGAAGUUUUCAGUGAUUUGCUACAUCUUAAAGGUGAAUCAGUUUAGGUGAAUGGAAAUGAUCGAAACAUGUUUAAAAGGAUGCACACCUGACUGCAGUGUGAAAGAAGGAUGGUGCAAGAGCACAGAGACAAGAGACAGGGAGAACAUGGGCUCCUGCAGGAACCUAGAAGAGAAGAUUGUUGAGAAGACAAACUGAAAAGACUUGAUGACCAAGUAGGCAUUUAUGUUUAGGGUGGGGGUAAGAGACUUUAUUUAAAUUUUCGAAGGCUUGGGUCCUCAGAGGGAUGCUGCUGCCAUUCAUCUAGGAAAAGAAUAUAAAGAGCUGUCAUUCAUCUAAGAGAAAGAAUACAGGAGUUUUGGCUGCAGCAGAAGUGGGAAGAUAGAAGCAAGUUGGUUGGUGAAUGCUGAGUUUAAGGAGCCCCGGAGGCAACUGGGAAUGACUGGUAGGCAGUUGGGUAAAUGCACCUGGAGCUCAGGAGAAAGUCUGCUCUAUCAGAGUUUAUCAACUAAUCAAGUAAAUAUCAAAUGAUAUCAACUAAAUAACUAAUAGCGUUAUCUAACUAAAUGAUAGUUGAAGCCAUAGCCGUAUGACUUAAAACUUGCUGGGCUCUUACUGUGCGCCCAGGCACUUCCUGUGUCUGAACUCCUUCACUCCUCCUCCGACCCUGUGAAACAGGUGCUAUAAUUAGUCCCAUUUUACCCAUGAGGAAACGUUAGAGAUGUUAGGUAAGCUGACCAAGAUAUCACACACAGCCAGAAAAUGGCAAGCCCUGGCAGUGUGGUUCUGGUGUCUUUGCUUUUCAGCAUUACGCUGUGCUGCCUCUCAGAACAGAUCAUAGGCCUGACAAUGGGGCUGAGAGCAGAAUCUUAGGGACCGCGGGUAUUUAGGGAUGGGCCAGUCACUGGGGAGGAACCUGACGAGGGGUAUCCAAAGAAGUGGUGGGAAAAUUAGGAAAAUGUUGUCAUGGAAGUCAAGGGAAGAGUAUUUCAAGAGGAGUGGCGGUAAGUAGAAGGCCCCUGGUGCUGGCGGUUUUGGGGAAGCGGUAUGUGCACACCCCAGUAUGGAGGUAAGUGGAGCAAAGUGAAGGUUGACAAAGCCAGAAGCACUUGACAGCCCUGAGAGAGAUUUAAUCUCUGCUUGGUCACCAUUUUAUUGAAGCUGGAGAAAGCGGCAGGGACUUCAGGAAAGGAGAUGAGAGCUGGGUGUGCAACUGACUACAUAGGUCCUUUGCCUAUUUGUAAACAAAUCUCCUGUGAUCCUUACUAAAUAAAGGUUAUUAAAGGUCAUGCCACAGAUGGGGUUCACUUGUUUGCAUGAUUUAAAUGUAUAGGCAUAGGUAGGUAUGAAGAGGAAAGUGGAAAUCAGUCUUCAGUCCAUCUUACGAGCUACCUGCCUUGUUUACCUUGUGUAAAUCUAGACCAGAAGUAGAGUGCCAAGCCAAACCCAUAUUCUGUGUCAAUGAAUCCUCUUUCCUCUUUGUUUAACUAUUAUUUCCCUAUGUGUCUAAGUCCUUUAUUUUCCUUAUUAUGCAGCUCACUUUGUCUCUUUUUGUGUCUGAAUUCACAGCUGCUCCAAAUAGUCAAUUCACUUUUAUAUACAGCAAUACUCAAAUCCAUACAACAUACUGGCAUCGUGCUUCUUGCAUGCUGGCUUCAGUGGUACACGGCAGCUCAUGCUGACGGUGUGACCGUCUCUGAACUACGUUCCAAGUCACUUAGGAAAGUUUUCCCCUAAGAAGCACAUUUGGAUCCUGGCUUCCUAGUCCCUUGUGUGUUUGCAAAUAUUUAUUUAUUAGCAGCUUGGUUUGCCAUUGUUUCUAAGGAGUAUUAUAAAACAUUGAUAAAUUUUAGAAUGCUUGCUGUUAUUCGUCCUGAUGUCCCUUACACAGAGUUGCCGAUUGGAGAAGCAGUUGAAUUGCAAACCAAGGCCUGCAAUUGGAGAGUCUGCCCUGGUGACUUUUACUUUGCAGCUCAAAUCUGAAACCACUAUUUGUUUUCUUAUACCGGUACAUGGAGCCUUAAGGCAAUUUUGUUUUCUUUCCUAACGAGGUUACUGGGACCUCUUGUCCAACCCUGCUUUAUGUUGCUCAGGAGACCACCUGUCUCCUUAAGAUAGAACCUCCCAGAGUGAAACUCUUAUGUGACAUAGAGUCUAUAUUUUAAGUAAGGGCAUCCAAAUAUAUUGUCCAGAUUUCUAGAAAAUAUGUCCAGCUAUAUUUUUAGUUUUUUAUGUGAUGAUAUGUGUGUCUGUAUGUUUUAUUUAUAUAGGUGCAUGUUAUCAUUCUUAGGUCCAAACAGGUUUGUUACAAAUAGAAAAUCCUCACAAUUUAAUGACAGAACCAAUUCAUUAAUAGAGAAACCUUUGGUAUAAAGCUUAAGUAAUUGCAUUCAAAGUACUGGUAUUAAAUCUGAAAAGCAAUCCAAUUAGUAUUUUCUAAAACACCACCAACAGCAAAAUCCUUCCAACCAAAUGAAGUCUCAAGAGAUACCUCAGAUAUAAAUAAUCUCAGACUUUGGACAUCUUAAGCAUGUGAAAAAAAAAUGGGAAAACGCAUAAACUCUUCCUCUGAUUUCCACCUGGGAGCUCAUGCAUGUGCCCUGAUUUAGAAUCUGCUGCUCCCUGUUCCAUAACUGACCCGUUUCUGUCAUUCCCUCAGGCUCAAGUCCUUCUGGAGUCACCGAGGCCGGCAGUGUGUGCAGAAGUAGCAGCUGGUUUCAGCCUUUGCAAUUCAGCCCCUCCCAGGAGAGAGGUUCCUCAGUUUUCCAACUCAUCCCGUGGCCUCCUAAACCUCCAAAGGAAUUGGGCCAGACUGAUGCCACCUUUGGAAGAAGACAAAACAAAACAAAACAACAACAACAAAAACAACUAGCAUUUAUUGUAAGGCAGGUGUUAUGCUAAAGACAUUCACAAUCAUGACCUCAUUUAUUCUUCUCAGGUAGUCUGUUCUUAUUCCUGUUUCACAGAUGGACAAAGGACGGUUCAGGCACCUACAACUUACCUUGGACCUGCAGUUACUUUUAUGUCUGUGUUUGUGCAAGGACCUGUCAUUCCAGAUGUCCCAGUGAUCAGUGUGGAUUGCCGCAGGAACAACGUGGUGGUGGCAACUGGGCAUAGACCAUGAAAACUGCUGAAAAGUAAUGAGGAGCUCAUUAAGGGUGUUCAUCUCCUGGCACUGAAAAGCAUGCAUAGAAUGUAGUCCCUGCCACAAGACACUGAAAGGUGGGCAUGGACGGAGAGCGAGGACGAGGGGAUGUUAGUUCUGGUCCAGAUGU
Microcebus murinus (gray mouse lemur) is the source of this 5963-nucleotide non-coding RNA. The record is from RefSeq and is a predicted model, not a curated record. Lineage: Eukaryota; Metazoa; Chordata; Mammalia; Primates; Cheirogaleidae.